AUUCCCCUAGUAACUGCGAGUGAAGCGGGAAAAGCUCAAAUUUAAAAUCUGAUGGUCUUUGGCCGUCCGAGUUGUAAUCUAGAGAAGUGUUUUCCGUGCCGGACCGUGUACAAGUUUCUUGGAACAGAACAUCAUAGAGGGUGAGAAUCCCGUCUUUGACACGGACUGCCGGUGCUCUGUGAUGCACUCUCGAAGAGUCGCGUUGUUUGGGAAUGCAGCGCAAAAUGGGUGGUGAAUUCCAUCUAAAGCUAAAUAUUGGCGAGAGACCGAUAGCGAACAAGUACCGUGAGGGAAAGAUGAAAAGCACUUUGGAAAGAGAGUUAAACAGUACGUGAAAUUGUUGAAAGGGAAACGCUUGAAGUCAGUCGCGUCUUGCGGAACUCAGCCUUGCUUCUGCUUGGUGUAUUUUCUGUUUGACGGGCCAGCAUCGAUUUUGACCGUCGGAUAAAGUGUGGGGGAAUGUGGCAUCCUCGGAUGUGUUAUAGCCCUUGCUCGCAUACGACGGUUGGGAUCGAGGACCCGACAGCACGCCCUUUUGGCCGGGGUUCGCCCACGUACGUGCUUAGGAUGCUGGCGUAAUGGCUUUAAACGACCCGUCUUGAAACACGGACCAAGGAGUCUAACAUGCCUGCGAGUGUUUGGGUGGAAAACCCAUGCGCGUAAUAAAAGUGAAAGUUGAGACCUCUGUCGUGGAGGGCAUCGACGCCCGGUCUUGAGCUUCGGCGACGGAUCCGCGGUUGAGCAUGUAUGUUGGGACCCGAAAGAUGGUGAACUAUGCCUGAAUAGGGUGAAGCCAGAGGAAACUCUGGUGGAGGCUCGUAGCGAUUCUGACGUGCAAAUCGAUCGUCAAAUUUGGGUAUAGGGGCGAAAGACUAAUCGAACCAU
RNAcentral lists this ribosomal RNA (885 nucleotides) under Dendrocorticium sp. CFMR FP102956. RNAcentral describes it as "eukaryotic LSU rRNA". It matches the Rfam family "Eukaryotic large subunit ribosomal RNA", at positions 74 to 943 of the family's 3401-position model. The record is from RNAcentral. Lineage: Eukaryota; Fungi; Basidiomycota; Agaricomycetes; Corticiales; Punctulariaceae.